RNAcentral lists this ribosomal RNA (786 nucleotides) under Triticum aestivum (bread wheat). RNAcentral describes it as "partial small subunit ribosomal RNA". The record is from RNAcentral. Lineage: Eukaryota; Viridiplantae; Streptophyta; Magnoliopsida; Poales; Poaceae.
AUGAACCUCUUGGCCUGGAACUGUCGAGGCUUGGGGUUGGGCUCGACAGUUGGUGAACUCUGUGACCUGAUUAGGUCCUACAACCCAGUGGUGGUAUUUCUAUGUGAAACAAAGAAGAGGGCAAUAGCUAUGGAGAAGAUCAAAUGGAGUCUAGGCUUCAGGAAUGGUGUGGCGGUUGACUGCGAGGGCCAGAGUGGAGGAUUGGCUUUAUGGUGGCGUGAUAACGUUAAUGUCACUGUCCGGCCAUGGAGCCAAUAUUUCAUAGAUGCUAAAGUGGUGUGGGAGGGGAAGGUCUGUAGAUUCACCGGUUUCUACAGAGAGCCAUGCAGAGAGCAGCGGAAGAAAUCAUGGGAUGCUUUGCGUUAUCAUCAUGCACAUGAUACAUUACCAUGGAUUUGCAUGGGGGAUUAUAAUGAAGCAAUGUUCCAGUCCGAUCAGAGAGGAGGGAAUCCAAGGAGUUUUCUACAGAUGGAAGAUUUCCGGGACUGCUUGGCUGACUGCGGCCUUGCGGACUUGGGUUACUCGGGGUACCAAUACAUAUGGGACAAUAGGAGAGAGCCGAAGGAGAAUAUCCAGGUCAGAUUGGACCUGGCUGCAUGCAACGAUGGUUUUCUGGAAAUUUUCCCGGAGACAGUAGUGGAAAAUAUCAUGACAGAAGAGUCUGACCAUCAACCGCUACUGGUACGGGAAUUGGAGACGGCUCCAUGCUCGGAUCAACGUGGAGAGAGACCGUUACGUUUUGAGGAGGCUUGGACGAGGCAUGAGAAGUAUGAUGACAUGGUUUGA